GCCCCGGUGUGUCACCACCGCGGGUCACCUGGGAGUCCUGUGAGUGCACCGCCGGGGUCACCUGGGAGCCCCGCGUGUCACCGCCGCGGUCGUCGGGGAGCCCCGGGGCUCACCAACGAGGUCACCUGGGAGCCCCGCGGGUCACCGCCGCGGUCACCUGGAAGUGUCACCUGUGUCACUAGGUCACCUAGUGUAUCACACAGGUCACCUAGAAAUUCGUGUCACCGCCAAGGUCACCUAGAAAUUCGUGUCACCGCCGAGGUCCCCUGGGAGCCCCGCGGGUGCCGCACAAGUGCCCCCGCCCUUCCCCCCGGUUCCGGGUCUCCACGCCCUCCUGGUUUGCGGGCAGCCGCGAAGCCGCGAGUGGACCGAGCGAGUGCAGCUGCCUCCGCGGGGCCGCGCCUGGCCGCCGCCUCCCUUUACCUCCGGCCGCCCCGUGGCAGGUGUAGAAGCUGCAGAGGCCGCAGCAGCCCAGCGCGCCCCUUCCGUGUGGCCGCAUGCCACCCGCGCCGCGCCCAGGUAAGCAGGUCCGUGGGUCGCUGGGUCCAUGCGUGGGUCCGUGGCUGGCCGGGGAUGGACCAGCCCCUCCCCGCAGGGGCAUCGCCUGCCCAAGGACGCAGGACCCAGUGAGGGAAGCGCGCGCUGCAGGCACGGGGCUCUCCACCCUCGCCAUGGUUGGCACCAAGCCACACUGUGCACUCGACACACGCAGCGUCCUGGCUGCCACCUGCAGAUUCCAGCUCGUGUCUAUGCAGGGCCAUGGCCGCCAUCACAGGGCCAUAUGCAAGAAACUCUCUGAGCUCUCCUCGCCCAAAACCGCAGCUAUCCUUUUGUGGUUUGGUAUUAUAGGUAACAUGCCCUUCCUUAAAGAAACAGUAUUUCAGGCCUGUAGUCCCAGCUACUCCGGAGGCCGAGGCAGAAGCUGAGGCAGAAGCAGGAGGAUCAUUUGAGCCCAGAAGUUUGAGCCUGGGCAAUGUAGCAAGACCCCCCCCCCCACCUCACUCCCCAAUCAGUUAAAAGAGAGAGAGAGAGAGAGAGAAUUCCAGCAGGAAGAAGUACACAUUUCCACGAAUGGUUUGGGAAUUCAAGCAUCAUAUGGCUGAGGUUUGAACUACAGCUCAUGCCAAUAACAUGUGCACAUGCGCCAGCAUUCCAGCGUCCAACAGAGCAUGCGUGCACCAUUCCAGCAUCCGGCAACAAUGCACCAGCAUUCCAGCGUCCAACAGAGCAUCCGUGUACCAUUCCGGCAUUUGGCAACAAUGCACCAGCAUUCCAGAGUCCAACAGGGCAUGCGUGCACCAUUCCAGCAUCCGGCAACAAUGCACCAGCAUUCCAGCGUCCAACAGAGCGUGCGUGCACCAUUCCAGCAUCCGGCAACAAUGCACCAGCAUUCCAGCGUCCAAAAGAGCAUCCGGCAACAUCCCGGUGUCCAGUGGCACAUGUGCACCUGGACGUUCCAGUGUGGUGAGCUUUCAGGCACGGAGCAAGGCCAAAGGGAUAAAAAGAUGAAGGUGACGCAGUACUCCCCCUUAUAGUGCCUACAGGCCUUAUAGGCCAGACAGAUCUGGAAAUAAAUAAUUCAUAAUAAAAAAUAAUUACAGAAUAAGAGGCAUAAUAACCAGAUAGAAAGUAUUGAAUAAAUCUGUAAGAAAUGGCUGCUUUGUUUUUGUUUUUGUUUAACAUGAGAAACGUAUUGAGUAUCAGCAGUUUCACUUGGUUCUACAGAAUCUCUUUGGAGACCAGUGAAAGGAGAACUCUGGAAAGGCCUCAGAGUGGAUGGGAGCCUCUCCCUCUGUGGACAAGCGUUCCCUGGGCUGCCCAGGGUGCCUACGGCGGCACAAUUGCUACCUCCUGUCUACACAUGGUCUGCAAAAAGUGCCCUCAAAUGGGUCUGCUCCUCUCAUUCCCUGUCAGUUCAGGGAACCUUCACCACUCCCCAUCCCCCACCGCCCCCCCACCCCAACCCUGCCCCUCCAGCUUCAGGGAAAGCCUGUCAUCAGGCAGAAGGGUCCUGAAAUGCAGGCCCUGCCCUUUCCACUAGUCUAAGGCACAACACCCUCCCUGGUCCUCAGCCCACACGGCCCUAGGCCACACUCCCUCUGAGCACCUGCCCUCUUCUCCCGGCCGCUCUCCUGGCAUGCAGGUGCCCUCCAGCCUGCCCAGCCUUGGGCUGCGUCAGGAUCUACCGAGGACUUGUUAAGCUCACACAGCUGGGCUCUGAUGGCUCCUUGCUGAUCCAGGAGGUCUGGGAUGGGGCCCGAGGAUGUGCAUUUCUAGCAAAAUUUCCUGGGAUGUUGAAUGUGCUGGUCCACACUUUGAGAAACACUGCUGAAAUCUGUUGCAUCUUAAAAGCAAGAUGAAAGGAAAGGGCCACACCCUCUGGCCUGUCCCGCUUCUCCGAUCUCCCUCUUCACCCCUUGGGCAUCUCCACACAUGCUAUUGGCUUCUUUCCUCAACCCUGUGCCAUCCACUCUGUCCCCUGGCCAAUAUCCUCUGGCUGGCACCAUGUCAUGUUGGGGCACCAGGGUGGAGACCCUUGGUCUCUGUGGUCAUUGGCUUUAUUACUUGUCAACUUGGCUGGGCCACCGUGCCCAGAUAUUGGGUCAAAUGCUAGGUUAGAUGUCUCUGUGAAGGUAUGUUUAGAUGAGAUUGACACUUAUAUCAGUAGACUUUGAGUAAGGUGUGUGACAUAACGUGGGUGGGCCUCACCCAAUCUAUCAAGGGGCUUGAGAGAAAAAGACAGAGGUUCCCUGAGGAAGAGGGAGCUCUGCUCCCAGACAGCCUGGACUGCAACCCAACUCUCCCCAGUCCCCAGCUGCCCCUGGACCUUCCAACACCCACAAUUUCAGGAGCUGAUUUGUUCAGCUAAGUCUCUCUCUAGCUCUGUCUAGUCUUUAUUCUGCCUUAAAUUAUAGCACAGAUGAUGCCAUCUUUCCAUAAACAUCAUUUAAUACUUGCCUAAAGAACGAUUGUCACCAUUACACCUGGCAUUAGGGAGCACUAGGCGCUCCAGGUACCUGCCAGAGUGCUCCCCAUGCUGUAAACUAUUGGUCUUUACAGAGAGCUGGGAGAAGGCACUGUUUUUCGCGUUUUACAGAAUAUGCAGAGAGGUUCAGCGACUUGCCCCAGGCCACACAGAGGCACAAAGAUGCAGACCUGUGGUGUCUGCAUCGGGGACGCCUGUAGUGUCGUGAGGGGAAUGGCAUCCACAGAGUUCCCGACAGGUAGACCCAGGACACUUAGGUAAGGUCCCAAGCCGUGUGUCCCAAGGGAUGGGCUUCUUUCCAUCCCUGGCUCGGCCUCUCUCCCGGGAACCAGAGGCGCCCCAGGAGGGAGGCUGAAGGUAAAGCGACACCUGGAUACCAAACAUCCUCAUGGCGACCUUUCUGGAUGAUCAGCCACAAAGCGGAGGUGAGAAAUGGGAGCUGGAGCAGGCAGGGCCAGGCUCCCAGAGCCAACCCCGAGGCUAGGGGAGCAGGGCUAUGGAGUGGCACAGUGGCCCCGGCCACAGAAGGGCAGGCAUAGGUGUUUCCUGCACAGCCUCACUCCAUGUCUUGGGAGGGGUAUCAGAGAGGGUAGAGACUGGAAAAGGACUGUGAGGAAAUUCACAAGCUCAUUGUGACUGGGAGAGCCCCGCGGGACAACACCCAGCAUGUCAGGGAUGCACUGGAGCCGUGGCCCCAGAAAUCUGGAAACGAACCCUCGAUUCCGGACAACCAGGGCUGGCUCUGAGGUGCAGCACUGAGCAAGGCUGGUGACUCCUGCGUGCCCAGAGCUCAUGCUGCAGCGGAGGUGACAUGGCACCUGGGUAUGUGACAGCCUCCAUGUGGUGACGGGAGGGCACCUGCUGGCACCUCCCCCUCCGGGGCCAGUGUGACGUGUGAACAGGUCCCUGUGUCCCAGCAGCAAGCAGGUCCUGGUCCACACACGGACGACUGAAGGACUGCACUUCUGAAGUGGGGGACAGGGAGGGGAGGGGCAGGAGAGGAAGGAAGAGGAGGAGCUGCUGGACUUCUGACUUUUUUUAUGGCUUUGCCCAGCAAGGAAGUCUGGAAUUCACAUUAACAUAAACUAUAAACGCAGAAUCAGUUGAUGAGGACAGUUAGUGAGGAGAUGGUCUUUUGGGGAUAAAAUCUGGCAGGAUUGCUGACCUGGACUCUGUCAUCUAAAGUUCUCACACAAAUGACCAUUACGUUGUGAUGCAUGAAACAAGUAACUUAAUAUGUAUUUUUGUCUGAGUAUAAAAUCAUUGUGUUCACUUUGGAAAAUAUAGAAAAUAAAAAUAAAAUAUACUUUAACAGCAUC
RNAcentral lists this long non-coding RNA (4305 nucleotides) under Homo sapiens (human). RNAcentral's name for it is "non-protein coding MCF2L-AS1:7". Lineage: Eukaryota; Metazoa; Chordata; Mammalia; Primates; Hominidae. The record is from RNAcentral.